CUUUUUCUUUACACUGGUGAUAGAAUCUGAAGAACAAAAAAAACAGGAAACAAAAGAAAGAUAGAUUCAUAGAGAAAAAUAUUAAAAACAAAUAAAAAAAGUUCCUUUGUUUUUAUAUUCAAUCUUCAGUUGAAUGAAUUCAAUACUGAUGAAAUUCAUCGAAGAAUGCUGCUUUUCUCAUAGACUUCUACUCUUCUACACUUGCAAGAGAUUCUGGUAAUAUGAAUUCUAACAGAAAAUAUCCUCUCCAAGAGACUUUGCAGCAGUUAUCCUCUUGAAACACCAAACAGUAUACUGUUUUUCCACUAACUUCCGCCAUAAGAAACUCAGAAAACUGUUAUGCGUAUUCUUCUUCUUCUUCUUUCAGCAGCCUGACGAGGAAGACGAGGACUAUACAGUAAAAAAUAAUUACAAUUUUCAAAAAGAGAAUUAGAAGAAGAAGAAGAACAAAAAGUUUACAAAAAAAAAAAAAAAGAAGAAGAACAAAAGAAAAAUAUUACCUUUAGAGAAAGGUUUUUAUCAGAUUCGUUUGACUUGGAUACCCUACUUUCCUUCCAAAUCCUACGUAAGAAAAAAAAAUACAAUCAUGAUUCAUAAGAAAAAAAGCUUGAUUCUUGUUGUUUUUUGUUCAUAAAUCAAAUAGCCUACAACUAUAAAUUUUAAACUGAUAAAAAAACUUGAAAAAACUGAGAGAAAGAUGGACG
RNAcentral lists this long non-coding RNA (704 nucleotides) under Brassica napus (rape). RNAcentral's name for it is "long non-coding RNA (BNAP_LNC013178)". The record is from RNAcentral. Lineage: Eukaryota; Viridiplantae; Streptophyta; Magnoliopsida; Brassicales; Brassicaceae.